AUGGAACACUCCAUCAUCAGAACCCUCACUAACCACAGAGAUACCAGUAAUCAUACUUCUAUCCAGAAUUUUGCAGCCUCCAGCUUCAGCACAAGUCAGGACCUUAUUCAAAGUGAUGAAAAUACGAAGAUGAAUAACAUCUUUUCUCCUAAAGAACUCCUGGGAGGCAGUGCUGAGGGCAGGCAGCAGGGGAAGGACAUGACAGCAUCUCUUCAAGGAAAGCCACUUGUACCUCUACCCUCCUCACACAGGAUUCAAAUCCCAUGUAGUUUGAGGAUCCUUUGCAGGACAAGAGAAAGAAAAGGCAAUCAGAGGAGUGGCAGCAAGCUGUCUUAGCAAUCAAGCCUUGCUCUGGCUAGUCCCAUCUCCCUCAUGCUUCCUAAACCCACAUCUCCUCGGUCCCUGGUCUUUGAGUUCUGCUCAUUUGAUACUUCAGCUGCUCUGUUAGAAUGUAUCACCUCACUCUGAUUAUGGAUGAACACAUAUUAUGGCAUCUCACCCUUAUCCUGGCAUCCAUAUUUACCUGGUUUUUAUGUUUUAGCUACUUUCCUGAUACUAAAUACCACAAUGGAAGAAAGAGGCUUUGGAGACCAUCAGAAUGGGGUUUUCCUCUUGGCAUUUAUAAUUUGUGUGGCUUUGAGAAAGAUCAAACCUCUCUAAGCCUCUUUUCAGAUACUAUUCCCUCUGAAGGUUCUUGUGAGAAUUAAAUAAGAUAAAAAUUGCAAAGCACCUAGCAUAUAGUACAACCACUGAGCAGUACCAUUUUAGUGACUAUCUGUAUACGCUGUUUGUAGCCAGACCUGGGCAAGCUCACCUCGUGUGAAGUGUGUCUACUUAUUUGUAGUGUGUCAAGAACUCUGAAAAGUUCUGAAGCUAUUAACAGUAAGGUAUUCAAGGUCUUUGUCCUAGAUGAGCUCUUAAAUUUUGAAGAAAUAGGUACACAAAUUAUUAUACUAAGCUAUCAGAUCUUAUAAGUUCUACUACAGUAGAAAUAAAGGCAUGGUGCUCUGUGAAUAC
This 1017-nucleotide long non-coding RNA is filed under the name Oryctolagus cuniculus (rabbit). Its description in RNAcentral is "lncRNA (ENSOCUG00000029782.1)". The record is from RNAcentral. Lineage: Eukaryota; Metazoa; Chordata; Mammalia; Lagomorpha; Leporidae.